This is a long non-coding RNA of Patiria miniata (bat star), 638 nucleotides long. RefSeq lists it as uncharacterized. The transcript has 2 exons. NCBI's taxonomy places the organism in Eukaryota, Metazoa, Echinodermata, Asteroidea, Valvatida, Asterinidae. The record is from RefSeq and is a predicted model, not a curated record.
GUCAACUCCAGUAGAGUUGUCAUUGGUAAGUGUAUUGGUACUUUGCAUAAAUUUAAGUGUUGAAUAUUCAUUUAGCCAAGUGAAUGCAUUUAUUGAAUUCUUGGGCCUUAGUAUGUAGCAUUGCUGAAAUGUUUUUCUCCGGGUUUAUAAGCAAAACGAGUUUGGAAUGGGGCAGAUUUUGAGAUGAGAUUCCGAGGAGAGGGCAGAGACCAGCCUCGAUGAUUUUGAGAAAUAAUUUGUGAGAAAUUUUUGAUAUGGAGAAGCCAAAGGAGAGGGCUCAGCCAGCCUACGGCAUUAGUAUAUUUUAAGCUUGAGCUAGUAAGAGCCAAGCCGCUGAAACCUUGGACAAGCUAGGAAUCACCCACAUUCCUAGCUUUUGGGGGUUGAGAAUAGUGCAACCUUUGACCAGAGGACCAGAAGCGACAGGGCAGGACCGCAGCGGCGGACAAGUUACGGACCAUCACAGGCGCUACUGAUCAUACCCCAAGAUCCCAAGAUCAAGAUACACCGGGACGGACGCAUCGAGUAUUAAUGAUUGUAUAAAUUGUCGAUAAUUAUUUUGGGGAUUUUGAAGAAGAGACCAAACCUUUGCGUUGAAACGUUGAAAUAUAAAUAAAUUGUACAUAAUAUAAAUAUAA